GACGAACGCUGGCGGCGUGCUUAACACAUGCAAGUCGAACGGAAGGACCCUGAUUUUGUGUGUUUCUUGUUUGGCGAACGGGUGAGUAACACGUGUGUAACCUGCCCCUAACUUUGGGAUAACUUCAGGGAACUGGGGCUAAUACCGGAUAGGAGCUCCUGCUGCACGGGGGGGGAUAGAAAGUGUCGGCGGUUGGGGAUGGACUAGCGGCUUAUGAGCUUGAUGGUGGGGUAGUUAUUUACCAAGCGUUUGACGGGUAGCCUGCCUGAGAGAGGGAACGGCCACAUUGGGACUGAGAGAGGGCGCAGACGGGUACGGGAGGCAGUAGGCGGGAAUAUUGCGGAAUGGGGGGGAGUGUGUGGCAGCAGUGCCGGGUGCGUGAUGAUGGGCUUCGGGUUAUAAACCGAUGUCGCCGGUGACGAAGCGUGAGUGACGGUAAUGGGUAAAGAAGCACCGGCUAACUACGUG
RNAcentral lists this ribosomal RNA (468 nucleotides) under uncultured bacterium. RNAcentral describes it as "partial 16S ribosomal RNA". It matches the Rfam family "Bacterial small subunit ribosomal RNA", at positions 28 to 507 of the family's 1533-position model. The record is from RNAcentral.